GAUGAACGCUGGCGGCGUGCUUAACACAUGCAAGUCGAACGGAGUGCCUUAGAAAGAGGAUUCGUCCAAUUGAUAAGGUUACUUAGUGGCGGACGGGUGAGUAACGCGUGAGGAACCUGCCUCGGAGUGGGGAAUAACAGACCGAAAGGCCUGCUAAUACCGCAUGAUGCAGUUGGACCGCAUGGUCCUGACUGCCAAAGAUUUAUCGCUCUGAGAUGGCCUCGCGUCUGAUUAGCUUGUUGGCGGGGUAAUGGCCCACCAAGGCGACGAUCAGUAGCCGGACUGAGAGGUUGGCCGGCCACAUUGGGACUGAGACACGGCCCAGACUCCUACGGGAGGCAGCAGUGGGGAAUAUUGGGCAAUGGGCGCAAGCCUGACCCAGCAACGCCGCGUGAAGGAAGAAGGCUUUCGGGUUGUAAACUUCUUUUCUCAGGGACGAACAAAUGACGGUACCUGA
This 457-nucleotide ribosomal RNA is filed under the name uncultured bacterium. RNAcentral's name for it is "bacterial SSU rRNA". It matches the Rfam family "Bacterial small subunit ribosomal RNA", at positions 28 to 482 of the family's 1533-position model. The record is from RNAcentral.